GACGAACGCUGGCGGCGUGCUUAACACAUGCAAGUCGAACGAUGAAGAAAAGAAUCGAAGCUUCGGCAGAAAUUCAUUUCGGAUUAGUGGCAGACGGGUGAGUAACGCGUGAGCAACCUACCUCUUACAAAGGGAUAGCCUCGGGAAACCGGGAUUAAUACCAUAUAACAUUGCGACGAAGCAUUUCGAUGCAAUCAAAGCUACGGCGGUAUGAGAUGGGCUCGCGUCCCAUUAACCGGAUGGUGAGGUAACGGCUCACCAUAGUGACGAUGGGUAACCGGCCUGAGAGGGUGAACGGUCACACUGGAACUGAGACACGGUCCAGACUCCUACGGGAGGCAGCAGUGGGGAAUAUUGCACAAUGGAGGGAACUCUGAUGCAGCGACGCCGCGUGAGUGAUGAAGGAAUUCGUUUCGUAAAACUCUGUUCUAUGGGAAGAAAAGGACUGUACCAUAGGAGAAAGCUCCGGCUAAAUACGUG
This 480-nucleotide ribosomal RNA is filed under the name uncultured bacterium. Its description in RNAcentral is "partial 16S ribosomal RNA". It matches the Rfam family "Bacterial small subunit ribosomal RNA", at positions 28 to 507 of the family's 1533-position model. The record is from RNAcentral.